RNAcentral lists this ribosomal RNA (559 nucleotides) under uncultured Glomus. RNAcentral describes it as "SSU rRNA". It matches the Rfam family "Eukaryotic small subunit ribosomal RNA", at positions 546 to 1106 of the family's 1831-position model. The record is from RNAcentral. Lineage: Eukaryota; Fungi; Glomeromycota; Glomeromycetes; Glomerales; Glomeraceae.
AAUUGGAGGGCAAGUCUGGUGCCAGCAGCCGCGGUAAUUCCAGCUCCAAUAGCGUAUAUUAAAGUUGUUGCAGUUAAAAAGCUCGUAGUUGAAUUUCGGGGUUAGUAGGUUGGUCAUGCCUCUGGUAUGUACUGGUCUCACUGAUUCCUCCUUCCUGAUGAACCGUAAUGCCAUUAAUUUGGUGUUGCGGGGAAUUUGGACUGUUACUUUGAAAAAAUUAGAGUGUUUAAAGCAAGCUAACGCUUGAAUACAUUAGCAUGGAAUAAUGAAAUAGGACGUUCGAUCCUAUUUUGUUGGUUUCUAGGAUUGACGUAAUGAUUAAUAGGGAUAGUUGGGGGCAUUAGUAUUCAAUUGUCAGAGGUGAAAUUCUUGGAUUUAUUGAAGACUAACUACUGCGAAAGCAUUUGCCAAGGAUGUUUUCAUUAAUCAAGAACGAAAGUUAGGGGAUCGAAGACGAUCAGAUACCGUCGUAGUCUUAACCAUAAACUAUGCCGACUAGGGAUCGGAUGAUGUUAAUUUUUUAAUGACUCAUUCGGCGCCUUACGGGAAACCAAAGUGU